RNAcentral lists this ribosomal RNA (433 nucleotides) under uncultured bacterium. RNAcentral's name for it is "partial 16S ribosomal RNA". It matches the Rfam family "Bacterial small subunit ribosomal RNA", at positions 29 to 507 of the family's 1533-position model. The record is from RNAcentral.
AACGAACGCUGGCGGCAGGCCUAACACAUGCAAGUCGAGCGAGGACUUCGGUUCUAGCGGCGGACGGGUGAGUAACGCGUGGGAAUGUGCCCUUCUCUACGGAAUAGCCCUGGGAAACUGGGAGUAAUACCGUAUACGCCCUAUUGGGGAAAGAUUUAUCGGAGAAGGAUCAGCCCGCGUUGGAUUAGGUAGUUGGUGGGGUAAUGGCCUACUAAGCCGACGAUCCAUAGCUGGUUUGAGAGGAUGAUCAGCCACACUGGGACUGAGACACGGCCCAGACUCCUACGGGAGGCAGCAGUGGGGAAUCUUAGACAAUGGGGGCAACCCUGAUCUAGCCAUGCCGCGUGAGUGAUGAAGGCCUUAGGGUUGUAAAGCUCUUUCAGCUGGGAAGAUAAUGACGGUACCAGCAGAAGAAGCCCCGGCUAACUCCGUG